AGGCAGCAGUAGGGAAUAUUGGACAAUGGGCGCAAGCCUGAUCCAGCCAUGCCGCGUGUGUGAAGAAGGCCUUCGGGUUGUAAAGCACUUUUAUCCGGAAAGAAAAGCGCUGGGUUAAUACCCUGGUGUCCUGACGGUACCGGAAGAAUAAGCACCGGCUAACUUCGUGCCAGCAGCCGCGGUAAUACGAAGGGUGCAAGCGUUACUCGGAAUUACUGGGCGUAAAGCGUGCGUAGGUGGUUUGUUAAGUCUGAUGUGAAAGCCCUGGGCUCAACCUGGGAAUUGCAUUGGAUACUGGCAGGCUAGAGUGCGGUAGAGGGUAGUGGAAUUCCCGGUGUAGCAGUGAAAUGCGUAGAGAUCGGGAGGAACAUCUGUGGCGAAGGCGACUACCUGGACCAGCACUGACACUGAGGCACGAAAGCGUGGGGAGCAAACAGGAUUAGAUACCCUGGUAG
This 455-nucleotide ribosomal RNA is filed under the name uncultured bacterium. Its description in RNAcentral is "bacterial SSU rRNA". It matches the Rfam family "Bacterial small subunit ribosomal RNA", at positions 346 to 793 of the family's 1533-position model. The record is from RNAcentral.